AGUGAACGCUGGCGGUAGGCCUAACACAUGCAAGUCGAACGGCAGCACAGUAAGAGCUUGCUCUUACGGGUGGCGAGUGGCGGACGGGUGAGGAAUACAUCGGAAUCUACUUUUUCGUGGGGGAUAACGUAGGGAAACUUACGCUAAUACCGCAUACGACCUACGGGUGAAAGCAGGGGAUCUUCGGACCUUGCGCGAUUGAAUGAGCCGAUGUCGGAUUAGCUAGUUGGCGGGGUAAAGGCCCACCAAGGCGACGAUCCGUAGCUGGUCUGAGAGGAUGAUCAGCCACACUGGAACUGAGACACGGUCCAGACUCCUACGGGAGGCAGCAGUGGGGAAUAUUGGACAAUGGGCGCAAGCCUGAUCCAGCCAUGCCGCGUGGGUGAAGAAGGCCUUCGGGUUGUAAAGCCCUUUUGUUAGGAAAGAAAAGCAGCAGGUUAAUACCCCGCUGUUCUGACGGUACCCAAAGAAUAAGCACCGGCUAACUACGUG
This 492-nucleotide ribosomal RNA is filed under the name uncultured bacterium. RNAcentral describes it as "partial 16S ribosomal RNA". It matches the Rfam family "Bacterial small subunit ribosomal RNA", at positions 29 to 507 of the family's 1533-position model. The record is from RNAcentral.